AUGAACGCUGGCGGCGUGCCUAAUACAUGCAAGUCGAGCGAACAGACGAGGAGCUUGCUCCUCUGACGUUAGCGGCGGACGGGUGAGUAACACGUGGAUAACCUACCUAUAAGACUGGGAUAACUUCGGGAAACCGGAGCUAAUACCGGAUAAUAUAUUGAACCGCAUGGUUCAAUAGUGAAAGACGGGUUUGCUGUCACUUAUAGAUGGAUCCGCGCCGCAUUAGCUAGUUGGGAAGGUAACGGCUUACCAAGGCAACGAUGCGUAGCCGACCUGAGAGGGUGAUCGGCCACACUGGAACUGAGACACGGUCCAGACUCCUACGGGAGGCAGCAGUAGGGAAUCUUCCGCAAAGGGCGAAAGCCUGACGGAGCAACGCCGCGUGAGUGAUGAAGGUCUUCGGAUCGUAAAACUCUGUUAUCAGGGAAGAACAAAUGUGUAAGUAACUAUGCACGUCUUGACGGUACCUAAUCAGAAAGCCACGGCUAACUACGUG
This 496-nucleotide ribosomal RNA is filed under the name uncultured bacterium. Its description in RNAcentral is "partial 16S ribosomal RNA". It matches the Rfam family "Bacterial small subunit ribosomal RNA", at positions 29 to 507 of the family's 1533-position model. The record is from RNAcentral.